AACGUAGGACACAAGCGUUAUCCGGAGUUACUGGGCGUAAAGAGCGCGUAGGCGGCUCGUUAAGUGUGAAGUGAAAUCUCUAGGGCUCAACCCAGAAACUGCUUUACAUACUGGCGAGCUGGAGUGAUGAAGAGGUUUGUGGAAUUCCUGGUGUAGCGGUGAAAUGCGUUGAUAUCAGGAGGAACACCCAUGGCGAAGGCAGCAAACUGGUCAUCAACUGACGCUGAGGCGCGAAAGCGUGGGUAGCAAACAGG
Molecule: ribosomal RNA, 254 nt
Filed under: uncultured bacterium
Lineage: Bacteria
Description: partial 16S ribosomal RNA
Rfam family: Bacterial small subunit ribosomal RNA
Source: RNAcentral